Molecule: long non-coding RNA, 1349 nt
Filed under: Daucus carota (carrot)
Lineage: Eukaryota; Viridiplantae; Streptophyta; Magnoliopsida; Apiales; Apiaceae
Description: long non-coding RNA (DCAR_LNC005791)
Source: RNAcentral
UUAUUACACAUAUAUUCUGUAGGCUUACAGGGAUGACCAAGACCUCCUUAUAAAACACAUCCACCCUAAAUGAUUAUACACCAUCCAAAACAAAACUACACCACAUGUCUGUCGACUACUUGCUUAGCCUACUCGUUUUGGGAGCAGUGGUUCUCACUGCUCCUUCCCUUGCUCUUCGUUAUCCGAAUCAUAAUCCCCAACCAAAGCACAAGCCAAUCUCUUUUUCUUUUUUUUUGCUAAAUAAAAUUUUAUAAGAAAACAGGGAGAAACAAGAUCUAGGGGCAUACCCCGCGGCAAGGACUUGAUACAAGCAUCAAAGUCAAAGAAAGGAAAUCUGCUAAAGACAGGAAUCCACUGAGGGAAACAGCUAAACAACAAGAACUAAAAAAAGACUAGCCCAGGAACAAUACACAAACUACAAAAACUACAAUUGAAACUGAGCAUAAGGCAAACUAGUAAAUAAGACAUAAGAAAGAUGGGUCCCGAUGCACCCAUUUUCUAAAUCAGAGCACCAACCGCCACUUCAUAAACCACCACCAGAACACAAACUGUUGUUUCAUAAACCACCAGUUCCAUUGAGUCCUCAACAUCAAGAAACGUCAGAGAAAAAGCCAAUACGCUGGAAUCUCAGGCCAAGUCCCGCCUCUGCACCUCCCCUUCAUUUAAGUUCUGUUCCACCACCGCCCUCAUCUGUCAGCAUGAAUAAUCACCACCCUUGACACAAUCCGCAGAGAAUAAAAUCCACCAGAGGCAGAGCUCAGAGGUAGCACAGGGUGACCUAUCAUAUAGGAACGGAAAUAUGCAACCUCACUAUGAUUAUGAUUUCGUUGUCUGUAAACUUCUUUUACAAAGUAUCUUAUUCCCCGUUUAGGGAUUGAAUAAUGAUGUUUGAAUUUUGUUAUCAUCAGAUAUCUUUUAUAUUUAUUAGAAUUUCAUUAAUUGUUUAUAAGGGGUUCAUUCUCAGAAAUGUCACAUAGAUAUCCCAUGUCUGUGAUCCACCAUACCAAGUUGCAACUAGUUUACUAUAUAAGCUUGCUGUUUCAGUUAUUAACUUAUAAGAGAUGAAGUAUAGAAACUAGAAAACACCAUAAAACAAAUUAAAAGACUAUGCAUGAAGUGAAUAUAACAGAGCUCACCGUCCGGAUUGUAAUACUUACAAAAAUUUAACUCCCUCGUAUACUGAAGGAUGUGGACUGUUGCUUCGGUUUGGCUAACUCCAAAUUGGAUCAGGUUUUACAUUUUUUGUAGGAAAGUUAUUCAUCAAAAACUGUAUUCUACUUUAUAUUUUUACUUUUUUUUAAGCUACUCAAUAUUCUUAUUAUCUUCAGAAAUUGUGAUGAUAUAUAAAC